Non-coding RNA from Oryza sativa Japonica Group (Japanese rice), 1700 nucleotides. The record is from RefSeq and is a predicted model, not a curated record. Lineage: Eukaryota; Viridiplantae; Streptophyta; Magnoliopsida; Poales; Poaceae.
AAUCUAAUAGGCAAUUCAUACAAUAGUUGCUUACUAUAUUAUUAAUAUAUUGUUCCAUCUAUCAUACACACAUUGUGUUUUGGAGUCCGCGCUGUAGCUGGUUACAAAUCUGUAGUCCGUUGCUCUUCUCUCUCAUAUUUUAUCUCGUUAAAAUAUGUUUACAGCUGGCUAAUAGAUUGCUAUUGUAUCUGCUCUUAUGCAUGAUCGCCAUUGUUCCCAGAUAAACAGAGGCAUUACCCCCACGGCUCGGGAUCUCUACUACACAUUUCAGCAUAGCAAAGCGCCAAAGCCCAUUGGCCCCACCGGCCACCGCGCAUAAGCCCUCGCAACAACAGCCAACUUGAAGCAGUGGAGCUCAAAAUUCGUUCCGAUUCUAGGGGGGAUCGAGCAGCGAGCGGACUCCCCUCGCUUACCGCCGCGCUUGGCCGCCGCCGAGGGACGGUGGAUCGCGGUGUCGGGGGACUCGGCGUGAGGGGAAGCGGGAGGCGUGGUCCACCUCGUUAGGCCGGUGCCUACUCCCAGCGACGGCACCGCCAGGACGACGCGCCGCCGUGAUCUCGGCGGCUCCGGACCUCCGGUUGUCUUCUCGAACCGAUAUUGGUCAUGUAAUAUUGUCCAUAUCAUGUAUGCCCGCCGUCCUCCUCGUCAUCGUCGUCGUUGCUGUCCUCGUCCUCGUCCUUGUCGUGGGGGGUAGUGGGCUAGGGGUGGCUGGGUCCACCAGCUCCCUUCACCAUCGACGCGAGGGAGGGGGAGUUGAAUCCGCUGCCCCCAUGCUUCUUCAUUACCGGAUCCGUUGCUGCCGCGCAUCCCCACUACCGGAUCCGCUCGAUUUAUGAUUAUAAGAAAGAUAUUGAUACCACCUUGAAAUAAAAUUGUUUUUUAUUGACUCCUAUAUUUAUGGCUACAAUAAGUUAUUUAUUUUUUUAGGUCAUGUAAUAUUGUCCAUAUCACGGAUGCCCGCCGUCCUCCUCGUCAUCAUCGUCGUUGUAACCGUCGUCGUUGCUGUCCUCAUCCUCAUCCUCGUCCUUGUCGUGGGGCGUAGGGGGCUAGGGGUGGCCGGGUCCGCCCGCUCCCAUCACUGUCGACGCGCGGGAGGGAGAGUUGAAUCCGUUGCCCCCGUGCCUCUUCACCAUCGGAUCCGCUGUUGCCGCGCAUCCCCACCACCGGAUCCGCCGCAGUCGGAUCCGCGCGGGUGAUGGCCGCCGCACCUCCCCACCGUCGGAUCCGCCGCCGGACGCCUCACCACCGCCAGAUCUGUCGCCGCUGUCGCAUCCCUCCUCCGCCCUCUCCCACUGCCCGAGCCCUCCACCGCGUCGGGAGGGGGGAGAGGGGAGAGAAGGAGUGGGGGAGAAGAGGAGGAAGCCAUCGUCGUCGCCCUUGCCUACCGCUGGGAGGGAGGAGAUGAAUGGGGGUGAUGGGAAAGAGAGAGGACUGGAGAAUAAAAAAAGUGAGAAUCUACGGGGGGGUAUUUUUGCAUGCCGGUGAGUUAAACACCACAUUUUCACGUCCAUAUAUUUUAAAUGGUCCGUUUGGAAAAAAUGAUUCUUGCAUACAAGUUUCUUAAGAAGCCGUAUGGGAAAAUGGGAUAAAUUUUUGUAGGCACAAACACUUAUGGCCUGUCUGCAAUCUAUUCGGGUGGUCAUCCAGAAAAAUAUUUUUUAAGUAGUGAAUGGAAAGAUGACAUGAUGAAUCCAACCUCA